Molecule: ribosomal RNA, 477 nt
Filed under: uncultured bacterium
Lineage: Bacteria
Description: partial 16S ribosomal RNA
Rfam family: Bacterial small subunit ribosomal RNA
Source: RNAcentral
GACGAACGCUGGCGGCGUGCUUAACACAUGCAAGUCGAACGGUAAGGCCCUUCGGGGUACACGAGUGGCGAACGGGUGAGUAACACGUGGGUGAUCUGCCCUGCACUUCGGGAUAAGCCUGGGAAACUGGGUCUAAUACCGGAUAGGACCAUUGCCUGCAUGGGUGGUGGUGGAAAGCUUUGCGGUGUGGGAUGGGCCCGCGGCCUAUCAGCUUGUUGGUGGGGUGGUGGCCUACCAAGGCGACGACGGGUAGCCGGCCUGAGAGGGUGACCGGCCACACUGGGACUGAGAUACGGCCCAGACUCCUACGGGAGGCAGCAGUGGGGAAUAUUGCACAAUGGGCGCAAGCCUGAUGCAGCGACGCCGCGUGAGGGAUGACGGCCUUCGGGUUGUAAACCUCUUUCAGCACCGACGAAGCGCAAGUGACGGUAGGUGCAGAAGAAGGACCGGCCAACUACGUGCCAGCCGCCGCGGUAA